AUUGAACGCUGGCGGAAUGCUUUACACAUGCAAGUCGAACGGCAGCACGGGGCAACCUGGUGGCGAGUGGCGAACGGGUGAGUAAUACAUCGGAACGUGCCCAAUCGUGGGGGAUAACGUAGCGAAAGUUACGCUAAUACCGCAUACGAUCUACGGAUGAAAGCGGGGGAUCGCAAGACCUCGCGCGAAUGGAGCGGCCGAUGUCAGAUUAGGUAGUUGGUGGGGUAAAGGCUCACCAAGCCGACGAUCUGUAGCUGGUCUGAGAGGACGACCAGCCACACUGGGACUGAGACACGGCCCAGACUCCUACGGGAGGCAGCAGUGGGGAAUUUUGGACAAUGGGCGCAAGCCUGAUCCAGCCAUUCCGCGUGCAGGAUGAAGGCCUUCGGGUUGUAACUGCUUUGUACGGACGAAACGGUUCUCUCUAAUACAGGGGCGUAAUGACGGUACCGUAAGAAUAAGCACCGGCUAACUACGUGCCAGCAGCCGCGGUAAGAGUAGUA
This 503-nucleotide ribosomal RNA is filed under the name uncultured bacterium. RNAcentral describes it as "bacterial SSU rRNA". It matches the Rfam family "Bacterial small subunit ribosomal RNA", at positions 30 to 529 of the family's 1533-position model. The record is from RNAcentral.